GUCUAUGGCCAUGCCACCCUGAACAAGCUCGAUCCCGUCUGACCUCGGAAGCUGCGCAGGGUCCAGCCUGGUUGGAAGUACUUGGAUGGAAGACCAGGUGCUGUAGGCA
This 109-nucleotide ribosomal RNA is filed under the name Pteropus alecto (black flying fox). Lineage: Eukaryota; Metazoa; Chordata; Mammalia; Chiroptera; Pteropodidae. The record is from RNAcentral.